Molecule: long non-coding RNA, 3066 nt
Organism: Lynx canadensis (Canada lynx)
Lineage: Eukaryota; Metazoa; Chordata; Mammalia; Carnivora; Felidae
Source: Ensembl
AUGUUUUUUUGCAAGAAAAGUAGUGUUUUUGUGGUCAGUCUUGGGGGGGAAGACAGGGCCACAGGAGCCACCACUUACCCUGUCUCCACAGCCCAGCCACACCCGGGGCCGCUGUACGAGCAUCCGCAGAAGCUCCGGGGGAUGACGGGGAGCAAUCAGGAGGGGAUGCCAUGGAAGUCUGCUCUGAACACGCGGCCUCCCUCCCAGAGCCUGUGGGCGAGCGGCGGACCUCCAGCCACAGAAUACCUUCUACCAUCUGUUUCGGUCAAGGUGCAUCACGAGGAUUUAAAAGCACCAAGAAAAAAAAGGGACACCAGUGACAACGUGGACGGAGAGCCACAGAACCCUGAGCUGACUCUGAGCGAGCGGUGGCCUUUCGCAGGAUGGGGCGUCAGUGUUGCACUUUCUCUCGCCUUCUGGCGCGGCCGCCCUCAGACUCAGGCCUUUGCCACCCUCCACCUCAGCCCAGCUCCGUGUCGCUGAACAACUGCAUGACAGCAGAAGCAGUGACAGACCCACGGAUUCCCGACACAUGCUCUGGUGAAUGAAAUGGCCCGCCAUGCCACCUCCCUGUGCAGGGCCGUCCUGAGGACGUGCCGUAUAAAUAUGUAGAUAUUUGCCAUAACGGUCUCCAGCCGUGACUUCUCUGUGGUCGAGCUGUGUGGGGAAAUGGGCAGCAGCUCUCCGUGGGGAAUCUGUUUGCAGGGCUCGGUUUUCGGAAAGAUUUACAAAGCCACAGAGCCUCUGGGGGGUGAGGAUGUAGCACCUGCGUCGCUGACGCUCCUGGCUCAGCACGAGGUCCCAGGGCCGCCUUCCCCAGCGGCCGUCAGCUCAGAGCUGAUGGUGGGGUGAGAAGCCGAGGGGCUCCUGCGCCGCAGGUGGGGUGUUGGGCGCUGGGAGAACCCUGCGGCCAGGGCCGGCCUCCCCGUGAAUUGAGAAUCCAGAAAUUAACCCACAUACUUGUGCUCAACUGGUGGGGAAAGAGUAGUCUUUUCAACAAAUGGAACCGAGAUAACUGACAUCCACACGCAAAAGAGGUAUACGCCUCAGAGAUGGAAGUACACGUCCCCCCAAAAACUUGUGCACCAGUGCCUGCAGCAGCAUCAUUCACAAUGGCCAAAAGAUGGAAACAACUCACACGUCCCUCAAGUGAGGAACGCGUAAGCAAAACAUGGUGUAUUCAUAAAAUGAAACACCGGCCACAAAAGGGAAUGAACCGCUAACACUUACUACAACAUGGACGAACCUUGAAAGCAUCAUGCUGAGUGAACAAAGGACACACGCGUGCGCACACACACACACACACACACACACACACACACGGCCUGUAUUCUAUGAUUCCAUUUCUACUCCAUUUCUAGAAACGCCCAGUGUGCGGACAUGUACAGAGAAAGGAGGUUACUGGUUCUUAGGGCUGGGGAUUAUGCGGGAAUGGGGGAAUAGCUAGAAAAUACAGGGUUUUUUUCUGAGAUGAUGGAAAUGCUCUGAAGUUGCCCGUGGUGAAGGCUGCACACAUCUGUGAAUCUGCUGAAAAGCGUUGAAUCCUACACUUUAGAUGGGUGAACCGUAUGGUGUGUGAGUUUGUCUCCAUAAAGCUGUUUGAAAGAACAAACACGUACCCGGCUGGCUCAGGCAGAAGAGCCUACGACUCUUGAUCCCUGGUUGUGAGUUCAAGUCCCACAUUGGGUAUAGAGAUUUAAGGAUAAAAAUUAAAAGUCUUACAAGUAAGUAAAACAAAGAAAUCGCGAGGCAAUCCGGGAAACCUGGACGCUGCUGGACGCUCGACAGGCACCAGCGCUAUUCUGUGGUGGUCAUGCUGCGGCUGUUUUCCUAAGUAGUCUUUAGAAGGUGCUUCCCGAAAUAUUCGUGAAGGAAAUGACAUGAUGUCUGGGGUCUGCUUCAGAAUGAUCUGGGAGGGAGGACUGUUUGGGGCUGAGAUGAAACCAGGCUGACCCUGGGUAGAUGGCUGCUGAAACCAGGAGCCUGGGGCACGAUGACCCUAACCGUGCACACGCACUCGCCCCCUUCGACAAGUAAAGUAAAAAGGAGGAAAAGGAAGCCAAGGCAGGUGUGGACAGGACCAGCCUCAAGGACCAGAGCUCCGGGUCAUCGUGUCCCGAGGGCAGCCCCUCACACUCCCGCAAGCCCAGCAACUGGUGAGAAGCUCACACCCACCCAAACCUUGUCCCCGGCUGCUCGGAAGGAGCAUGAGGCAAACAGCUUGCUUUCUGGACUCUGAAAGACAGAACCGAGAUCAGGUCCUUGGGCGGGCAUAGUGAGUGCUUACAGGGAAAGUGCACUGAGCCCCCUGGCGAGUGGGAGGGAGCAGCACCGACCCUGGAGAGAUGAUGAGGCAGCCUCUCCAUGAAGUGGUCCAGUUAGACCACAGCAGGUGGGCGGGCAGGUGGGCAGUGGGCAGGCAGAUGGGGGGGGGGUGCCCCAGAGGCUUCCUGCGGCACUGCAAAGCAGGCCAGGCUUCCAGAGGACAGGACAUCACCCUGCCGCCUCUCCCCAAGCAGAUCACCUUACAUGUUUCUCCUGAUUUGCUGUGGACUUCAUGUUACGGUAUUUUGUUGUACGUAAGUUCUUUACAGUUAUGUGGUCAGUCUAUCAUUUAUUAUCUUUAUGAUUUUUUUUUUAAUUUAAUGUGUCAAAAGCUCCCCCCUCCACGGGUUUAUUCUAGGAGUUCACACUUGUCUCAACACUGGAGGAUCUGUUACUGUAAUACACCAUGUUAACAGCCUGAAGGGAAAAUCAUAUCAUUUCAAUAUGUGCAGAAAAAGCAUCUGACAAAAGACAACACUCAUGGAGGAAAAAACUUCGUAUUAACUAGUUGCGGAAUGGAACCACAGUCACCCGGAAGAGGUAUUUCGAGACUCCCACCACACCUAGCAUGCUUGUGGUGGGGUUAAAAAUACUUCCUUUAGGGGCGCCUGGGUGGCUCAGUCGGUUGAGCCUCCGACUUUGGCUCAGGUCAUGAUCUCGCGGUCCGUGAGUUCGAGCCCCGCGUCGGGCUCUAUGCUGACAGCUCGGAGCCUGGAGCCUGUUUCGGAUUCUGUGUCUCCC